RNAcentral lists this ribosomal RNA (478 nucleotides) under uncultured bacterium. RNAcentral's name for it is "bacterial SSU rRNA". It matches the Rfam family "Bacterial small subunit ribosomal RNA", at positions 30 to 504 of the family's 1533-position model. The record is from RNAcentral.
UGAACGCUAGCGGCAGGCUUAAUACAUGCAAGUCGAGGGGUAACAGGGAAGUUCGCUUCCGCUGACGACCGGCGCACGGGUGCGUAACGCGUUUGCAACCUAACUUUAACUGGGGAAUAGCCCCGAGAAAUCGGGAUCAAUACCUCAUAACAUUUAUCAUUCGCAUGUUUGAUAAAUUAAAGUUUCGACGGUUAAAGAUGGGCAUGCGUGACAUUAGUUAGUUGGUGAGGUAACGGCUCACCAAGACCACGAUGUCUAGGGGUUCUGAGAGGAUUUUCCCCCACACUGGUACUGAGACAGGACCAGACUGCUACGGGAGGCAGCAGUAAGGAAUAUUGGGCAAUGGACGAAAGUCUGACCCAGCCAUGCCGCGUGCAGGAUGACUGCCCUACGGGUUGUAAACUGCUUUUGUAUAGGAAGAAACCUUUGGACGUGUCCGAAGCUGACGGUACUAUACGAAUAAGCACCGGCUAACUCC